This 892-nucleotide ribosomal RNA is filed under the name Agaricus sp. RNAcentral's name for it is "eukaryotic LSU rRNA". It matches the Rfam family "Eukaryotic large subunit ribosomal RNA", at positions 72 to 951 of the family's 3401-position model. Lineage: Eukaryota; Fungi; Basidiomycota; Agaricomycetes; Agaricales; Agaricaceae. The record is from RNAcentral.
GGAUUCCCCUAGUAACUGCGAGUGAAGCGGGAAAAGCUCAAAUUUAAAAUCUGGCAGUCUCUGGCUGUCCGAGUUGUAAUCUAGAGAAGUAAUGCCCGUGCUGGACCGUGUAUAAGUCUCCUGGGAUGGGGCGUCAUAGAGGGUGAGAAUCCCGUCUUUGACACGGACUACCAGUGCAUUGUGGUAUGCUCUCAAAGAGUCGAGUUGUUUGGGAAUGCAGCUCAAAAUGGGUGGUAAAUUCCAUCUAAAGCUAAAUAUUGGCGAGAGACCGAUAGCGAACAAGUACCGUGAGGGAAAGAUGAAAAGAACUUUGGAAAGAGAGUUAAACAGUACGUGAAAUUGCUGAAAGGGAAACGCUUGAAGUCAGUCGCGUUAGCUGGGAAUCAGCCUUGCUUUUGCAUGGUGUACUUUCUGGUUGACGGGUCAGCAUCAAUUUUGACCGCUGGAAAAGGACCUGGGGAAUGUGGCAGCUUCGGCUGUGUUAUAGCCCCUAGUCGCAUACAGUGGUUGGGAUUGAGGAACUCAGCACGCCGCAAGGCCGGGUUUCGACCACGUUCGUGCUUAGGAUGCUGGCAUAAUGGCUUUAAGCGACCCGUCUUGAAACACGGACCAAGGAGUCUAACAUGCCUGCGAGUAUUUGGGUGGAAAACCCAAGUGCGUAAUGAAAGUGAAAGUUGAGAUCCCUGUCGUGGGGAGCAUCGACGCCCGGACCAGAACUUUUGGGACGGAUCCGCGGUGGAGCAUGUAUGUUGGGACCCGAAAGAUGGUGAACUAUGCCUGAAUAGGGUGAAGCCAGAGGAAACUCUGGUGGAGGCUCGUAGCGAUUCUGACGUGCAAAUCGAUCGUCAAAUUUGGGUAUAGGGGCGAAAGACUAAUCGAAUCCAUGCAGUGC